This 427-nucleotide ribosomal RNA is filed under the name uncultured bacterium. RNAcentral describes it as "bacterial SSU rRNA". It matches the Rfam family "Bacterial small subunit ribosomal RNA", at positions 355 to 774 of the family's 1533-position model. The record is from RNAcentral.
UGGGGAAUUUUGGACAAUGGGCGAAAGCCUGAUCCGGCCAUGCCGCGUGAGUGAAGAAGGCCUUCGGGUUGUAAAGCUCUUUUAGUCGGAAAGAAAGAGUUGCAAUGAAUAAUCGUGAUUUAUGACGGUACCGACAGAAAAAGCACCGGCUAACUACGUGCCAGCAGCCGCGGUAAUACGUAGGGUGCGAGCGUUAAUCGGAAUUACUGGGCGUAAAGGGUGCGCAGGCGGUCUUGCAAGUCAGAUGUGAAAGCCCCGGGCUUAACCUGGGAAUUGCGUUUGAAACUACAAGGCUAGAGUGCAGCAGAGGGGAGUGGAAUUCCAUGUGUAGCAGUGAAAUGCGUAGAGAUGUGGAAGAACACCGAUGGCGAAGGCAGCUCCCUGGGUUGACACUGACGCUCAUGCACGAAAGCGUGGGGAGCAAACA